The sequence is a ribosomal RNA, 1383 nucleotides long. It matches the Rfam family "Bacterial small subunit ribosomal RNA", at positions 62 to 1439 of the family's 1533-position model.
UCGAGGGGCAGCAUUUCAGUUUGCUUGCAAACUGGAGAUGGCGACCGGCGCACGGGUGAGUAACACGUAUCCAACCUGCCGAUAACUCGGGGAUAGCCUUUCGAAAGAAAGAUUAAUACCCGAUGGUAUAAUCAGACCGCAUGGUCUUGUUAUUAAAGAAUUUCGGUUAUCGAUGGGGAUGCGUUCCAUUAGGCAGUUGGUGAGGUAACGGCUCACCAAACCUUCGAUGGAUAGGGGUUCUGAGAGGAAGGUCCCCCACAUUGGAACUGAGACACGGUCCAAACUCCUACGGGAGGCAGCAGUGAGGAAUAUUGGUCAAUGGGCGCAGGCCUGAACCAGCCAAGUAGCGUGAAGGAUGACUGCCCUAUGGGUUGUAAACUUCUUUUAUAUGGGAAUAAAGUUUUCCACGUGUGGAAUUUUGUAUGUACCAUAUGAAUAAGGAUCGGCUAACUCCGUGCCAGCAGCCGCGGUAAUACGGAGGAUCCGAGCGUUAUCCGGAUUUAUUGGGUUUAAAGGGAGCGUAGGUGGACAGUUAAGUCAGUUGUGAAAGUUUGCGGCUCAACCGUAAAAUUGCAGUUGAUACUGGCUGUCUUGAGUACAGUAGAGGUGGGCGGAAUUCGUGGUGUAGCGGUGAAAUGCUUAGAUAUCACGAAGAACUCCGAUUGCGAAGGCAGCUCACUGGACUGCAACUGACACUGAUGCUCGAAAGUGUGGGUAUCAAACAGGAUUAGAUACCCUGGUAGUCCACACAGUAAACGAUGAAUACUCGCUGUUUGCGAUAUACAGUAAGCGGCCAAGCGAAAGCAUUAAGUAUUCCACCUGGGGAGUACGCCGGCAACGGUGAAACUCAAAGGAAUUGACGGGGGCCCGCACAAGCGGAGGAACAUGUGGUUUAAUUCGAUGAUACGCGAGGAACCUUACCCGGGCUUAAAUUGCAUUUGAAUAUAUUGGAAACAGUAUAGCCGUAAGGCAAAUGUGAAGGUGCUGCAUGGUUGUCGUCAGCUCGUGCCGUGAGGUGUCGGCUUAAGUGCCAUAACGAGCGCAACCCUUAUCUUUAGUUACUAACAGGUCAUGCUGAGGACUCUAGAGAGACUGCCGUCGUAAGAUGUGAGGAAGGUGGGGAUGACGUCAAAUCAGCACGGCCCUUACGUCCGGGGCUACACACGUGUUACAAUGGGGGGUACAGAAGGCAGCUACCUGGUGACAGGAUGCUAAUCCCAAAAGCCUCUCUCAGUUCGGAUCGAAGUCUGCAACCCGACUUCGUGAAGCUGGAUUCGCUAGUAAUCGCGCAUCAGCCAUGGCGCGGUGAAUACGUUCCCGGGCCUUGUACACACCGCCCGUCAAGCCAUGAAAGCCGGGGGUACCUGAAGUACGUAACCGCAG